AGAGUAAUGGCUUUGGAGAGUUCUUGCUGUUGUAGUACAUAGCCAAUCCUUUAGGCUCCACCACCAAGCUAUAAGGUCCAUCUUUGUUUUCAGUCUCCGAUGCUCGACUCACGAGCUUGCUUACUGUUCCGGCACCUAGUGAUUGACUUGCUACAAGAGUGUCUGUAGGGGAGUCGAAGCUUUGCCAGACAGACUUGCCCUUUGAGUUGUAAAGAACCAUGUUUCCGUUUCGAAGCAACUUGAAGCGCACCGCCCCUUUGUUAGCAGUGUUGCUUUGCCAAGCCACUCGACCAUCACCAUCUGCCAAGACAAUGUUUCCAUUGGUUCCCAGAGAGAAGGUAGCGUUUUCGCCAACUGGGUUUCCCCGGUUGGCCUCCCAAACCCAACGAUAGUAUGACUCAGAUUUCUUCAAACCCAUGCGCAGAGCAAGAGUGAAGGAGUCGGGAGUGGUGUUGUAGAAAGCAAGCUGGAAGGGGGAGGCAAAGAGAUCCAGCAUACGAUAGGAGGCAUCGUAUUCAACGAUGUAAGGCCAAAAUUCUCCAGAAUUGACAAACUUGAAAGUUUCAUUCGCGGGAAUUUGAGCU
This 584-nucleotide long non-coding RNA is filed under the name Fragaria vesca (wild strawberry). Its description in RNAcentral is "long non-coding RNA (FVES_LNC001284)". Lineage: Eukaryota; Viridiplantae; Streptophyta; Magnoliopsida; Rosales; Rosaceae. The record is from RNAcentral.